Long non-coding RNA from Schistocerca americana (American grasshopper), 458 nucleotides. RefSeq lists it as uncharacterized. Lineage: Eukaryota; Metazoa; Arthropoda; Insecta; Orthoptera; Acrididae. The transcript has 3 exons. The record is from RefSeq and is a predicted model, not a curated record.
GACAGAAAUAGAGCAGUAAAACAGUUUGCUUCAGUAAAGUUGUUGAUGCCAUGAUGGGAUAUUGGAUAAAUCAAUGAAGAUGUAUGAAUAAAAUAUGCCUUACUUGAUAACUAAAGGAACUUGCUUUAACAUGAAGAAGCUUAAAACAGAUACCAUCAUGAAGGAGAACCUUCAUGCACAUGAAAUAAGACAAGCUAUACAUUCACAAAGGCUGGCAACAGUGAAAAACUCAACCAGCACAGUGUAUGAAUGAUAAACUAUCACUACAAGUGUACUGCUAAUCCCCAUCCCCUGUGAACCAUGACCUUUCUGUGGUGGGGGUGGCUAGUGUGCCUAAACAAUACAGAUAGCCAUACCAUAGUUGCAUCCAAAAUGAAGGGGUAUCAGCAGAACGGUCAGAAAAACUUGUGGUUCCUGAAGAGGAGCAACAGUCUCGAUUAUUAACUGAUUUGACCUUG